AAACAAGCCUUAUAUUUUUUACAUUGUAUAUUUUGUUCAUCGCAUUGUUUUCUCAGCCGUUUUGAAUAACGUUUUAAAUAAAGUAUUUUAAAUGGCUCAAAGGCAUUUUAAACUGUAUUUAGUAUACGUUGAACUUUAUUUCUGUCAUUUUUUUUCUGUUUUUCGUAUUAUUUUCUCAACGCUGUUUCCACAUGUCAAUGAUUCUGAAGUUUUAUUGAUUCUUUGUACGUUGACAGUUUUAAACAAAGUUUUUUUUAUUUUGAAGAACUCGGUAGCCGUCUGAAGAUGGCGGCCGUGAAGUUGUUGACAGUUGUACUUCUGAACUUUUCCUUCACUUUUGUCUCGUCUUUGUACUUUCACAUGGGGGACACCGAGAGGAAAUGCUUCAUGGAGAAGAUCCCGAACGAGACGAUGCUCAUGGGAAACUAUGGGACCCGGCUGUUUGACGGACAGAGAGACGAGUACCUGCCGGUCUCUCAGAACAUCACCUUAUCAGUCCAGGUCAAAGAUCCUAAUGACAAGCUGGUUCUGUCUCGGUCUCACGGCUCGGAGGGAAGCUUCAGAUUCAGAUCUAAGGAACCUGGAGGAUACCAGAUCUGUCUCCAAGCAAACUGUUCACAGCACCCCCUGCCUGCUGGAGUCCUGCUGGCGGUUCACCUGGACCUCAGAGCGGCCGGAAGAACAAACAACUCCGCUGAGAUCGCUGCGAGAGAAAAACUGACGGAUAUUCAGCUGAGAGUCCAACAGCUGAUGGAGCAGGUUCUACAGAUCCAGCAGGAGCAGAACUCCCAGAAGUUGAGAGAAAGAGAUUUCCUUGAGGUGACACAAAACACCAACAUGUGGAUCUUCUGGUGGCCGGUCGCCCGCUCGCUCUACGUGGUUUUCAUCAUCAUCUGGCACACCAAGUCCUGGUGAGACCUCAAUGAUCCACAAUACCAUCACCAACAUCACACAUUAAAGGUCCCCUAUCCAGGGUGACGUUCCUCUUCAGUACACUUUGGACCUACAAGGGAAACAACAACAACAAAAUGGGACUUAUGAAACUUGUAAAUAUUUCCAGAAGCAUAAUCAAAUACUUUUUUAUAUACUGAGACCCCCCUCCCACCCGACAUCAGAAUACCUUUAUUAGUCCCACAUGUACAUUGUUACAGCAGAAAAGAGCCAAAGACAGCUUCAUGUCACCUCAGUAGCAUAACACAUUUAUUUUUUUAAAUACAAGUUACAAAACACACCCUGAUGAGGGCCGUAGUUUGGACAGCCCUGUUAUAUAGUCUGACCACUGCAGGAAGGAAGGGCCUGAGGUUAUUUGAAAUACUUUUUUAUACACUGAGACCCCCCUCCCAACCCGACAUGAUUAGUUCACCU
RNA transcript from Trematomus bernacchii (emerald rockcod), 1365 nucleotides. It is a transcript of the gene named transmembrane emp24 domain-containing protein 9-like, with no coding region annotated. NCBI's taxonomy places the organism in Eukaryota, Metazoa, Chordata, Actinopteri, Perciformes, Nototheniidae. The transcript is spliced from 6 exons. The record is from RefSeq and is a predicted model, not a curated record.